GAUGAACGCUAGCGGCAGGCCUAACACAUGCAAGUCGAGGGAGAGGUUACCUUCGGGUAACCAACACCGGCGCACGGGUGCGUAACGCGUAUACAAUCUGCCUUUCACAUAGGGAUAGCCCGAAGAAAUUUGGAUUAAUACCUAAUGGUAUAUAAGAGCGGCAUCGUUUUUAUAUUAAAGCUACGGUGGUGAAAGAUGAGUAUGCGUUCUAUUAGCUAGUUGGAGAGGUAACGGCUCCCCAAGGCGACGAUAGAUAGGGGUUCUGAGAGGGAUGUCCCCCACACUGGUACUGAGAUACGGACCAGACUCCUACGGGAGGCAGCAGUGAGGAAUAUUGGACAAUGGUCGGAAGACUGAUCCAGCCAUGCCGCGUGCAGGAUGAAGGUCCUAUGGAUUGUAAACUGCUUUUGUAAGGGAAGAAUAAGGAGUACGUGUACUUUGAUGACGGUACCUUACGAAUAAGCAUCGGCUAACUCCGUG
RNAcentral lists this ribosomal RNA (480 nucleotides) under uncultured bacterium. RNAcentral describes it as "partial 16S ribosomal RNA". It matches the Rfam family "Bacterial small subunit ribosomal RNA", at positions 28 to 507 of the family's 1533-position model. The record is from RNAcentral.